CAUUUUUGUUUUUGCAGGCAUCGCAGACCUUAGGUGCUGGAAAUGCAAGACAGUCCUCAUCAGGCUCAGGGAGAAAAGAACAGCAGGUGGCGUUGGGAACCCUUCGGGGAAACGCGUUUUUCCUUCCCUCGGAGGACUGUGUGCCUUCUCCUGCAUGGAGCUGCCUUUCCCCUGUGACAAGCCUUACCUUGCUUCAGAGCUGCUGGAAGGGGGACGCGCACGAAGCACUUUUAAGCUCAAAAAGGACCUACUGACAGUUCCCAGGAAACCUUUGUCCCUUCUUUGAUGGCUGUGACCCUCUGAGCAUCUCAGCUCUCUGCCUCUGCGGCCUCCCUGCGUGCUCUUCAGGCUUCCUCCCUCUGCUUUGUGUCACCGGCAACGUGCAUUUUACAGCACUGUUAACCUCUCCCAGCCUCCUGAACAUGAGUAAAAAGAAGACCCUGACGGAACACUGCAUUUAUAAAACAAAAAAAGAAGAAACAAAUUAUAAAAAAGAAACAUUCAAAGACAAGGUGUCACUUUCUACAAGAAGGGGAAAAAUUGCCUAACUAGAGAGAGGAACUGAAGCCUGGCCUGAGAGAAUAUGGGCUCUCAGCGUGAACUCUGGAGGAGACAUGAGUCCCUGGAGACUGAUACAGCCUUGGAAGAAUGCUGUUCCUAACACAAUUACAGCUAGGCUACUUGUCCAGCGCUAUUUCCUCCUGUACGCGCCCCAGUUCCAGCUCUGCCCCUCUGUAUUUAGAUGAGGUGGCUCCCUCCUUCCUGACACUUGAGUCCAGCAGAGGGAAGCACCAGAAGCACAGGAGAAGAUGGCAUCCUGGCCCUUUGUCCCGGUGC
This is a long non-coding RNA of Dromaius novaehollandiae (emu), 837 nucleotides long. RefSeq lists it as uncharacterized. The transcript is spliced from 6 exons. The record is from RefSeq and is a predicted model, not a curated record. Lineage: Eukaryota; Metazoa; Chordata; Aves; Casuariiformes; Dromaiidae.